AGACCAUGGCCAGAAAUUCGCGACAUUGAGCAGUCAUAGAGAUCAGCGGUAAUCCUCAAUAAAUUUCAAAAUGGCGGCCAAACAUGCUAGCACAAGAGUGGAUUACAAACAAUUACACUGUCGUAGCUCUGUAAUUAUGUAUGAUAAUUCCAGUGCACGAAAAGAACAGGGAAAGAUUUACCCUGUUAUUCAUCUUGCAACACUACAAUGCUCUUCACUUUGUCCAGCACGUUUUCCCGUGUUCCAUUCUACCGCUUGUUCCAGCAAGUUAUUUCGCUGCUUUUGAACAAGAUACUCGUAAUAUAUUUUCAAUUCGUGAACAAUUCUCCUUGAUUUGGAUAGGAUACGAUUUAACAACAAACACGUUGAGUAAUUGUACAUAUGAACAAGAACUAGCAACAGUUUGUUUUACUUCAUGCCAACUUUUUAAUUGCUCGUACGGCACAUGAAUGGAGAAUGACAAUUUUUCCGCAACGUCAACACAAAAUUGACAAUUUUGUAAAUUGUUUUAUGUAGUUCGUAGAAUGAAUACUGUCGAUUACUAUAUCCUUUUUGAAUUUUGUCUUGAAAUAUGACUCCAAAGAUGAAUAAUUCAUCACAACCACUUUGAAUUUUGCAUUUCAAUUUCCCGCCAAUGUGAAACUGACACGAUGUUAUUACAUGAAGUACGGCUAUAAACACACAGUACGCUGAACACUAAAACUGCUAAUCAUUUAAAUAUGGCUGCCGUGAAAGAGCAGAUUUUGAGCUUCAAUUUGAUAUCCUGGAUGGAAAAUAUCGUGAAAAAACGCCGUAGAAUAUCGAAAUCAAAGUGACGGCAAUCCCUUUAAAACGUCGAGCAAUGUAACUGUUGCGUGGUCCGCCGGGAGUAGAAAAUAUGGAUUUUCAAGCCUGAAAUGGAAAGGUCAAACAAUGUGCAACGUCUCACUACGACAUCAUUUGCAAAUGUUCAAGGCUUCAACUUUGGAUAUUCGAGUGCACAUUCGAGCAAAGUGUUACCCCUAACUUAUAACAAGCUUGUUUAAUGGGACACUUGGUUAUAUUCGCUAAUGGUUUUGGCUGUUUAGAAGGUAACCACAUAAACCAUUUUUACGAAACUAAUUUGGAAAGGUUAAAUUUAAAAAUCUACUUAUAAAAUACUGCUUAGAUUAAUAAUAUUGGUAUGUUUAACGAAG
This is a non-coding RNA of Paramuricea clavata, 1175 nucleotides long. The record is from the annotation of a GenBank genome assembly. Lineage: Eukaryota; Metazoa; Cnidaria; Anthozoa; Malacalcyonacea; Plexauridae.